ACCACCAGCCUCUCUACGCUGUUGGCCCCAUCCAAAAGCUCUUUAUACCAGACUGUAUAAAGUCUUUACAGCUUAUAUGUCUCAGACGUUAAGAGCAUGAGUGAAAAUGUAAAGCAUUUUAAUUCUCAUCUCAAACGGAAGGUUUUUGGAUUACUGAAUUACAAGGCAUUUAAAAAAAUGAAAAUAAGAUUAGACACUAUGGGGAAGAGCUUACUCAAACCACAAGGCAGAACUGCCUGAUACUGAACACCAAAAACUUUGUACAACCUUCAACUAAGAUAAAGUCAUACUCCUACCACCUGAAAAAAUACAGUAAUGAAAUUAAUGGAUUCAGUAACAGUGACAGUAUGAUCCCACCUCAUUAUUCAGCAGUGAAUAAGGACACGACAAGAAGCAGGACAUGGGCCUUGAGCAGCAGCCCUCCCCCCACCUUUUGGGGGCCUGUUCUCUGGCUCCAGACUUGACUACUGCAAUGAGCUCUAUGUGGGGCUGCCUUUGCAUGUAGUCCAGAAACUGCAGUUGGUCCAGAAUGCGGCAGCCAGGUUGGUCUCUGGGUCAUCUUGGAGAAACCAUAUCACUCUUGUGUUGAAAGAACUACACUGAUUGCUGAUAAGUUUCCAGGCAAAAUACCAGGUCUUGGUUAUAAUCUUUAAAGUCCUAAACAGCUUGGGCCCUGGGCAGUGUUCUAAUUUUUUUCCAUCUAUGUGCAGAAUUAGAUUUGUUCUGGGUGGCAGUAUCAAGGCAGUGUGUGCACACAUACAUUCAGGGUGGGGCCUUCCUGAUCCAACCUGAGCGGGAUCUAAAAUUAACUGAGCGGACAUCAAAAAAUGUGUGAGUGCAUGCACAUGCUCACACAUUAGAGGAAACACUGGCCCUGGGUAUUUAAGAGAACAUCUUCUUUGCUAUGAACCACACUGACCAUUGAGAUCAUCAGGAAGGUUCCUCUGCAGUUGUCACCAGCUCCUCUGAUUGCUACUCGGGGAUGGACGUUCUCCAUUGCUGCCCCGAGGCUUUGGAAUAAGAGCCUGCUCCCUGUUGAAAUAAGAGCCUCCUCAUCUCUUUCUUACAACUUUUUAAAAAGGCAGCCAAGAUGCAUUUGUUCACCCAGGCUUUUAAUUAGAUACUGUUUUAAUUGUUGAUUAUUUUUAAUAGUUUUAAUGUUUAAAGUUUUAAAUUGUUCUAAUGUUUUAACCUUUCUACUUAAAAAAAAUUGUUUUGUUGUAAACCACCCAGGAACUUGUGUUUUGGGCGGUAUAAAAUAUGUUAAUUAAUUAAUUAACUAACACAGUAGAGUUCUGAGGAGCCGAUAUGAGCUUUUCCGGCCUUGGCGCUUCUUCCUCUUUUAAUAAAGUUAUGGCAUGUUUUAAUGAUA
Molecule: long non-coding RNA, 1372 nt
Organism: Hemicordylus capensis (graceful crag lizard)
Lineage: Eukaryota; Metazoa; Chordata; Lepidosauria; Squamata; Cordylidae
Exons: 2
Source: RefSeq, a predicted model, not a curated record